UACGUAGGGUGCAAGCGUUGUCCGGAAUUAUUGGGCGUAAAGAGCUCGUAGGCGGUCUGUCGCGUCGGAUGUGAAAACCCAGGGCUCAACCCUGGGCCUGCAUUCGAUACUGGCAGACUAGAGUUCGGUAGGGGAGACUGGAAUUCCUGGUGUAGCGGUGAAAUGCGCAGAUAUCAGGAGGAACACCCGUGGCGAAAGCGGCUCUCUGGGACGGUACUGACGCUGAGACGCGAAAGCGUGGGGAGCAAACAGG
RNAcentral lists this ribosomal RNA (253 nucleotides) under uncultured bacterium. Its description in RNAcentral is "partial 16S ribosomal RNA". It matches the Rfam family "Bacterial small subunit ribosomal RNA", at positions 524 to 776 of the family's 1533-position model. The record is from RNAcentral.